Molecule: ribosomal RNA, 303 nt
Filed under: Triticum aestivum (bread wheat)
Lineage: Eukaryota; Viridiplantae; Streptophyta; Magnoliopsida; Poales; Poaceae
Description: partial small subunit ribosomal RNA
Source: RNAcentral
AUGAGGUCAUGGAAGGAAAAGAAGAGAAGAACGGUGAGACUGGUGCACGUCCGUGGGGCGACGCCCUUUGGUGUUGAUGAUGAACCGGUGGCCCUCGGCCCCUCGAACCAAGCGGCAGACGUGAGCCCGGAUGUGGUGUUCGUCCCCUGCGCCUCCACACGCAUCCAAGACACUCCUCCACGCAACACCAGGUUUUUCCAUCGGCGACGCGACCUGGAGAUGUGGUCUGUGUGCAAACGCGAAAGCCAACCGAAUCGACGGAUUCAUGGUUGUAUGGAGAAUCAGUGGAGAACCGGGCCUUAA